GACGAACGCUGGCGGCGUGCUUAACACAUGCAAGUCGAACGGUAAGGCCCUUCGGGGUACACGAGUGGCGAACGGGUGAGUAACACGUGGGUGAUCUACCCUGCACUUCGGGAUAAGCCUGGGAAACUGGGUCUAAUACCGGAUAGGACCACUGCCUGCAUGGGUGGUGGUGGAAAGCUUUUGCGGUGUGGGAUGGGCCCGCGGCCUAUCAGCUUGUUGGUGGGGAUGGCCUACCAAGGCGACGACGGGUAGCCGGCCUGAGAGGGUGACCGGCCACACUGGGACUGAGAUACGGCCCAGACUCCUACGGGAGGCAGCAGUGGGGAGUAUUGCACAAUGGGCGCAAGCCUGAUGCAGCGACGCCGCGUGAGGGAUGACGGCCUUCGGGUUGUAAACCUCUUUCAGCACCGACGAAGCGCAAGUGACGGUAGGUGCAGAAGAAGGACCGGCCAACUACGUGCCAGCAGCCGCGGUAA
Molecule: ribosomal RNA, 476 nt
Filed under: uncultured bacterium
Lineage: Bacteria
Description: partial 16S ribosomal RNA
Rfam family: Bacterial small subunit ribosomal RNA
Source: RNAcentral